Molecule: long non-coding RNA, 1493 nt
Organism: Hippocampus comes (tiger tail seahorse)
Lineage: Eukaryota; Metazoa; Chordata; Actinopteri; Syngnathiformes; Syngnathidae
Exons: 3
Source: RefSeq, a predicted model, not a curated record
ACCAACAGGUGGCUCUGUAGGACUCCACCUGCAGCUGCACACCUGUUGGUCAUUGUGUCAUUAGUUGUCUGUUUAAAAGGACUACCGACACGCCCACUCGGUGUUGGGUCAUUGUCUCUGUUGCUGUUUCUGUUAGUUUUUUGCUUCAGCCAUGGUUUUUGUUUGUUACUUUGGAUUCUUUUUGUUUUCAUGACUUUGUGUUGGAUUUAGUUUCCUCAGUCUUUUGUUAAUAAUGUUUGUCUAGUUCACCCUGCUCUUCCUUCCUGCCUGCUUUAUGGGGUCCUCCACCAUCACUCAAAAAGAGGCUGGAGGAAAAGGCCGGCGGUUCCCAGGAUGCACACCAGGACAAAAACCCACAGAAAGAUGCGGUCGAUCACCAUGGCGACGUAUUUCCAAUCGUCCUGAACCUGUGAGAGGAGCGACAAUGACAAAGCAGGGAAUGAACACGAGCAAGCGGUAGGCCCCUGACACGUCGGCCAUCAUCUGGGGUGUGAAGUCGUAAAGGUUAUGAAUGGCGGGGAGUGAUUCGCUGAGAUGGAAUGAGGUGACGAGGCGGGCUUUUAAUUAACUUUUCGCCUGGCGCUGAUGUGGAGGACAGAAGAGCAGGAUAAAUCAGCUAGGACAACAGCAAUCUGCUGCUUUAUUGGUGCGUACACAAGAACCUCGGCAUGACGAUGUGCAUGUCAAGCAGAUCUUUUGCCGGUGACAUGAACAAUACACAUUGGGCCAUUACAUUUGCUUCAUUGAACAAUGUGAAAAUGGUGUAUGACGAGAAUGUAACUCAGUAGAGCGCAGACCUGCACAAAGGCUGAACUGCUGAUUUAUGUGUCAAGCAGGUUACUUCCUGGUUCAUGCUGGAUGAUGGUCAGUCAGAUGGGAGUUCACCAUCAUGAUUCUGAGGGGAUUGUGCCGCUUCUAUUAAUGGCCAAAUAGAUAUAAAGCAUAACUGCAGCUUAUCCGGACCUUCACCGAAAUAUAAAGAAGUUCAGAUAUAAAGGCCGGCAAAAAUGCUGACUCGUCGGUGAUCAUGUUGAAAGUUGAGUAGCUAUGAUGUCUUCUUUUUUUUUUUUUUUUAAAGUCUAUCUCUGGUGUGUGUGUGUGCGCAAACAUACAUGUCACCAUUGUAACUCUAACUGCAGAGCUAACAUGGUGACAUGCUCUCACACACACACGCACACACACACACACACACACACACACUUUACAAUAGUGGCAUUUGUCACUGUAUGAAAGCGAAUGACUGAGUGUGCUAAACUGGAACCUCGACCUUUCGUAGCAUCAGUAUUGCCUCCUGACCUCUCUGUUGAGAGCAUACAAUGUCUGCUGCAGGACCGGCCUGCAGUAUCGGUGACCCAGAUAUUUGUCAUUCCUCCCUUGAGAGGUUCAUUGCUUAUUGCAUGUGUGACUCCCUGCAUGAGAGCACCAAGGUGGAAGAAAACAACAAUUUAAUGUUUUAUGGUAUGAAAUGCAAAAAUAUUACUGUACUGCAUGUG